Arachis duranensis is the source of this 3712-nucleotide RNA transcript. It is a transcript of the gene named cyclin-dependent kinase G-2, with no coding region annotated. Lineage: Eukaryota; Viridiplantae; Streptophyta; Magnoliopsida; Fabales; Fabaceae. The transcript is spliced from 7 exons. The record is from RefSeq and is a predicted model, not a curated record.
GUUAGAUACAAGUCAGAAUAGAAAAUCAAAACCCUAAGGCGGCUCGUUUGCAAAACCACAACUCUCUUCGAUCUCUUUCUCUGUGUGGUGCCGGUAAGGCUUUUUUUUUUCCUUCAGAAUUUUGAAUUCAGAUUCAGCUCCAACCACCUCUUUGAUUCUUUCUCCCAAUUCUGUUAGUUUUUUCUGUUUUCUUCGAAAUUACCCUUUGUAUUUUUUCCUCCUCAAUCAUAAAUUGGUUCGAUUCUCUUUCGAUUGCGCAAUUCUAUACAAAAUUAGUAAUAAUUGGGGUUGGCGAAAACAAAUUUGACGAAGGUAUAGUUGAAUCGGUUCGGUUUUAGCUUCUGGAUUUCGUUCGGGUUAAUUGUGUUGACAGAAGGCUGAACAAUUAGGGUUCUUUUAGGGAUUUUAACCGAUAGAUUCUUUUAUUGAUUUGUCGAGCGGGGCUUGUAAUUUUUCGAUCACAUGGCAGCUGGGAGAGGCGGUGUUUUGAAGAGGGGGGAAUCUUACAAAUAUGGCUCCAUUAAGGAAUUUGACUGCAAAUAUAAUAAUGAUGGUUCUUCUAUGGUGGAAGCUUCACCUGCCUCUAGUUCUCAUGGUGGUGAAGCUUUGCUUCGGGCAGAGAAGAGGAGGAAAGUUUCUCCUAAUGCAUGGGACAUGGGAGAGAGCGAAGUGAGAGUUUCUUCGAAAAACAGGGUCACCCAGGUUGUGGGUCUGCCUCCUACUACUCCAUCUCCGGCUGAUUCGUCUUUCGUGCUGCCUGGAGAGCAGUCAGGUGAUGGUGAUACAGAUGCGGAUUGCUUCGAGGGAAACAAGGUGCAGGGAUGGAACAUUGCAAUGUCGAGGUGGGCUUCUGCUGAUUUUUCACCAGUUGAUGCAUCUUAUGAUGAGGACAAGGAUGGUAAAGUGAGCUUAACAACUGAAAGUGGUGAGAUCCUAGAAGGAAGCUCGGGUGGGAAAGUUAGUAGAUCAACUGGGAGUAGUGAAAGAGGUAAGUCUGACCUUUCUUCUGAUGAUGAUACUGACACUGAAGAGGAUAAUAUUGUUGAUUCCAUUGAGGAGGAGGAUGAGGAACAAGGUAAAACUGCUUAUAGUUUGGUGUCGGAUUCUGAUGAAAAUCUUGGAGGUUGCAGGAAGGUGGAGAGGAAUAUAAACAUGCUCAACAGCUGCAGAAGUGUGUUUGAGUUUGAAAUGAUUAAGAAGAUAAAUGAAGGAACUUAUGGCGUUGUCUACAAAGCUAAGGAUAAGAAGACCGGGGAAAUAGUUGCAUUGAAGAAGGUGAAGAUGAACAUAGAUAAGGAAGGCUUUCCUUUGACAUCCUUGAGGGAAAUGAACAUUCUUUUGUCCUUUAAUCACCCGUCCAUUGUAGAUGUUAAAGAAGUAGUAGUUGAUGAUUUUGAUGGUGUUUUUAUGGUAAUGGAGUAUAUGGAGCACGACCUUAAGGGGCUGAUGGAUGAUAUGAAGCAGCCUUUUAGUAUAGGUGAAAUAAAAUCGUUGAUGUGGCAACUUCUUCAAGGUGUUGACUAUCUUCACGAUAAUUGGGUUCUUCACAGAGAUUUGAAGUCUUCAAACAUUCUGCUGAACAACAAAGGAGAACUGAAAAUAUGUGAUUUUGGAUUGUCUCGCCAGUAUGGGAGCCCACUGAAGCCGUAUACGCCUCUUGUGGUUACUCUACGUUACAGAGCACCUGAGCUUUUGUUAGGUUCUAAAGAAUACUCCACAGCAAUUGACAUGUGGUCUGUUGGUUGCAUAAUGGCUGAAUUAGUUGCCAGAGAGCCUCUUUUCAAGGGUAAAAAUGAAGUUGAACAACUUGAUCAGAUUUUUCGAACUCUGGGUACCCCAGAUGAGAAUAUUUGGCCCGGAUUAUCCAAAUUGCCUGGGUCUAAAGCAAAAUUUGUGAGGCAACCGUAUAAUAUGCUCUGGAAGAAGUUCCCAGUCGCAUCUUUUACUGGUCAGCCAGUUUUAUCAGAGUCAGGAUUUGACUUGUUGAGCAGGCUUCUAACUUAUGACCCUGAAAAGAGGAUAACAGCUAAAGAUGCUCUCCUUCAUGAUUGGUUCCAUGAAGCCCCUCUUUCUAAUUCUGAUUUCAAGCCUAUUUCCCCUUUUCGUUGCUAGGACAGGUACUUCUGCUCGAAGCAAUGGAACUUUACAGGAACAAUUCAAUUUUUAUGUUCAUUAUUCCCAAAAAAAAGGCUCAUGAUGUAUGAUGUGAUUUCCAAGGACAGUGUCUUGCACUUCAGUAGGUGCUGAUUUUUACCGUUAGAAGCAGCUGCUUGAUACAUAGUCACCUGACAAGUUCUGCUGGAGGAUCUCUUCAUCUGAAGAAGACGCCUACAGAAGCUCAAGAGCUGAUUGAAAUGGUUGCAAAUAACCAAUUCAUGUACACUUCUGAAAGAAAUCCUGUGGACAAUGGGACUAGUCAGAAGAAAGGAGUUUUUGAGAUUGACACUCUGAAAUGCCCUAUUGGCUCAGAAUAAAGUAUUGACUCAACAAGUCAAUAUGAUUUCUCAAAGUCUGUCUGGAAUGCAAAAUGCACCAAGCAGUACUAAAGAAGGUUCAUCUGAGGAAGAAGCUUAUGAUCCUGAGAACCCUUCAAUAGAAGAGGUAAAUUACAUGGGAGAACCCUCUGGAAACACCUAUAAUCCUUCAUGGAGAAAUCAUCCAAAUCUCUCAUGGAAAGAUCAACAGAGACCUCAACAAGGUUUCAACAAUAAUAAUGGUAGAAGUGUCAAUUUAGCCCAAACCUUAGGGCUAGCCCUCAACCCUCCAAAAAAAUUCUAGCCCACAGCCCUAAAAAUUUCAAAAUGAUAUUUUGUAAGCCCAACCCUAAUUAAGCCCUCCCAACAAAAAAGCAAAACAGGGCUGGCCCUAUAAGUCCUAAAAGCCCUAAAUCUAAUUUCUCCUCCCUGAGACCCUGAGUCCCUGACCCGAGAAGGCAAGAACUACUUGCAUUGAAACGGUGAAACUGUGAAAAGAAUCAAAGGAUCUGCGUUCUACUUCUGUGUUCUACCUGCGAAAUCUUUGGCUGCUUCUCCUCCCUCACGUGAAAUCAGAGGAGUAAACAAGCUAAAGAACUCAUUGAAAGCAUUAUAUGUCUAUUCCUAGAUUGCCAGUUUCAAGGUUUAUUAGUGCUUUUGAAUGAUUGCAUGCAAGCCAUUGUCAAUUACUUCACAGACCAGGAAUGGCAUUCAAGUUGUGAGAACAUAGCAAAAUUCGUUGCUUCCAGGUUGUUAUUACUUUUGGUGUCAAUAAUAGUAAUUCAGUGAUGCUAUUGUUUGGCACAAAUUUCUUUGGCACCACAAAACUUCCUUAUAUAGAUAGAUAACAUCAACCUUGUGCUACUUCAUGAAUCAAAAUACAUAGUUAUUCAUCACUUGUUCAAUUUUUGAGAGACGAAUUAAUACAGAGUAGCUCAGCUAGAAAGCCUUGGAUUGUGGCUGCUAGUGUUGGAGUUGUGGAGGCUUUAAAGGACCAAAGAGUGUGCAUGUGUAUGAUAAAUAAUGCCAUUGGUGGAUCUAGAUUGCAUUAUUUGAUUCUAAGGGAGAAUUUUGUAGCUUAAGCCUAAUCAAUUAGUGAGUCAUUUUUCUUGUUCUUCAUUUGUAUAUAUAGCUAUAUCAACAAGUGUGAUAAUGGUGGAGGAUGCAUGGUUCAUAUGAAAUCCUGCUUGCAAAAUAAUGGGGUAAAGAAAAUAAUAUCAAGAAAUUUCUUGAGAUAA